CUUGAACGCCUUAACUUUGCAGCAAACAACCUGAGUGAAGCAAUUCCUAAAAAGAUUGGAGAUUGCUCAAAACUGUUGUUCUUGAAUCUCAGCAAGAACAAAUUUGCAGAGAGUAUUCCUUUAGAGGUGGGCAAUUUACGCGUUCUUGAAAGUCUUGAUCUUAGUCAAAAUUUGUUAACAGGAGAGAUCCCGCCACAACUGGGAGGGUUGCAAAGAUUGGAGACACUGAACCUCUCCCACAAUUUGCUGUCAGGUUCCAUUCCAACUACUUUUGAUUAUGUAUCAAGCUUGACUGUGGUGGAUUUAUCCAAUAAUGAGUUAGACGGCCCAAUUCCCCACAAUAAAGCCUUCGAGCAGGCUCCAUUUGAAGCACUUCAAAACAACAGAGACUUGUGUGGCAAUAACACUAGACUAAAGGCAUGUGUCUCUGUUGCAAUCAACAAAACUAUCAGAAAAAAGGAUAGUAAAUUGGUUGUUCUCAUUCCUCUCGUGUGUAGUCUGUUUCUAUUUAUUGUCUUGGUUGGAGGUUUCUUCAUUCUCCGCCAAAGAAUUAGAAACAGAAAAGCUAAGUCAGAGGAAGGGCCGAGUGGUGAAGAUAUUUAUGCAAUGUGGGGUCGUGAUAAGGAUAUGCAAUAUGAAAACAUUGUUAAGGCUACAGAGGAG
RNAcentral lists this unclassified non-coding RNA (663 nucleotides) under Hevea brasiliensis (rubber tree). The record is from RNAcentral. Lineage: Eukaryota; Viridiplantae; Streptophyta; Magnoliopsida; Malpighiales; Euphorbiaceae.